RNAcentral lists this long non-coding RNA (1827 nucleotides) under Felis catus (domestic cat). RNAcentral's name for it is "lncRNA (ENSFCAG00000048874.1)". The record is from RNAcentral. Lineage: Eukaryota; Metazoa; Chordata; Mammalia; Carnivora; Felidae.
CGGUGACUGAAGGUAGGCGGCUCUCACCCGGGGUCUCAGUCACCCUGCGCCUUGCGCGCUCCCGACUGGCUGGCGGCGGCUGCACCUCCGCACCCCCGUCCCACCCCACCCUUGCACGGCAGGUGAAAUACGUCACUUCCGGUAGUGGCUGAGCCCCGCGGCGCGCGCCGGCUCCGCCAAGAGCGUGGGGUUGCCGUGGCAACCAGUGCGGACUGCCCUAGGGAUCCUCUGGAAUAGAAUUCCCCGGCCAGCUGCGCUCUGUCUUGGGGUGAGCCGGCAGCCAUUCCCCCCAUGAGCCCAGGUCCCCGCUUCAGUGCCUUUAGUUAAAUCAGGGUGUGUGCACUAGGGUCGAGCAGGCUCUUUUCCCCAGUUGCGGUCGCGCCCUUGCUCCAGGAUGAGGCACGGAACGACCCACGCCUGCGGUCCUGCCCCGGGAUCCUGAAGGGCGGCAAACACGGUUGGCCCCGCAGGCGCUCACCCCGCCCUCCCCUCUGGCUGUUCCCUAUCUGGAGUGACUUAGAGGAGAGAAGCAGUGUGGUGCAGUGGGCCAUCUGACUUCAUGGAUCAGACAAAGGGAAUCGUUGCCUUCUACAUCCGGAUGUUGGCCCCUAAACGGCACACCUCUGCAUGUUCAACAGCAGUGGCAGCAGCUUCAGCAAACAUCAGCAUCACAGUUGCCAUUCAGCAGAUUGGAAAUUACCAGAGUCAUAUCUAAUAACUGCAGUGACAUAAACCAGCAUAUGACAAUAGACACUCAGGAAGUUGAGGCCAGAAGGAAUAAAAUGUUCCCUAGACACUUUAAUCCUGGUUGUGUUUUCUGCCUUGACAAAAUUGCUGAAAGUAAGUAUCUCUAUAAGCUGGGGAAUGUUUUGGGCGUCCCUUUCACAGUGGCUCUGAUAAGUCCUGCUCAUAGUAGAGGAUACUGGUUUGACUCUCAGCCACAAUCUUUUGAGUAGUUAUGCCCAAGGGAGGUGGAACAGACACUUAGUGAAACAGAAGCCUUGUCUAUUUCUUAAGUAAACAUUUAUCAGAUGAACUGGUGUAUAAAAUUUAUCAUAUCAGGAAGAGCCAACCUUAAUAUCAAACAUGACAUAGUUCAAGCAUAAACAAAUUAUUAUGUAAAUAAUAGGUAGCCAUGGAAGCAAUGAGAACAACAAAUUAUCAUAAGAAUAUACUUGAGCUGGUCUGGAUACUGGGACAGGGUAGUUUCCAUACACCAUUUCUGGUCCUCCAAACAACUUUGCAAGGUAAAUGUGAUUCUCUUGAUUUUCCAGUGGAAGAAAUUGAAACUCAGAAUUCUGCACCCAGAGCUAUAUAGCUGGUAAAUGGCAGUGCCUGGAUUAAAAUAACUAAUCAUCAGGAUCAUGAUCAUUAAGAUUGAUGACAUUUAUGUGUACAUACUGAUGAUCACAACUGGGAUGAUGGCCUUCCAUAUGUUAUUUAUUCCAACAACAACUUCUUGAGUUAGUCACAUCAUGCCCAUUCUACAUAUGAAGAAAGUAAAUUUUGAAGGUUAAAGGGCUCCAUCAAAGUCAUAUGAUGGGCAUGCAGCAGCUCUGGAAUUUUAACUAGGAUAUGAAGGAUUAUUCUGCCUUCACCCAUUCUACCAAGCCUCUGAAAACAGAUUUCUCAUGUCCUGCCCUAUGCCUGCCUCAACUGACAUGUUUCAAUCAAGCAUGUGAGAGGGUAAGUUCCAUUUCCCACUCUUGCCCCCAAGGGUCUGACUAAUGCUGCUCUCUUCAAAGAACUGCUAACAUCUCUAGUUUAAGCAAUGUGCAAAAUAACUGAUGCAAAUAAAAUCUCUUUCCCCAAGGCCUCUCUUAUGCA